GCNGUCGUACGAGAGUUUUUAACUCUAGUGGCGGACGGGUGAGUAACACGUAAGAAUUUACCUUUAGGAGGGGGAUAUUAAAAUACCCCAUAUGCUUUCGAGUGAAAUGGAUUUCCGCCUAGAGAGAAGCUUGCGGCUGAUUAGCUUGUUGGUAAGGUACUGGCUUACCAAGGCGACGAUCAGUAUCUGGUUUGAGAGGACGAUCAGACACACUGGAACUGAGACACGGUCCAGACUCCUACGGGAGGCAGCAGUGGGGAAUUUUCCGCAAUGGGCGAAAGCCUGACGGAGCAAUCUCGCGUGAGGGAUGACGGCCUAUGGGUUGUAAACCUCUUUUUUCAGGGAGGAAUAAAUGACGUGUACCUGAAGAAUAAGCAUCGGCUAACUCCGUGCCAGCAGCCGCGGUAAGACGGAGGAUGCAAGUGUUAUCCGGAAUCACUGGGCGUAAAGCGUCUGUAGGUGGUUUAAUAAGUCAACUGUUAAAUCUUGAAGCUCAACUUCAAAAUCGCAGUCGAAACUAUUAGACUAGAGUAUAGUAGGGGUAAAGGGAAUUUCCAGUGGAGCGGUGAAAUGCGUAGAGAUUGGAAAGAACACCGAUGGCGAANGCACUUUACUGGGCUAUUACUGACACUCAGAGACGAAAGCUAGGGUAGCAAAUGGGAUUAGAUACNCCAGUAGUCCUAGCCGUAAACAAUGGAUACUAGAUGUUGAACAGAUCGACCUGUGCAGUAUUAAAGCUAACGCGUUAAGUAUCCCGCCUGGGAAGUAUGCUCGCANGANUGAAACUCAAAGGAANUNGANNGGGCCCGCACAAGCGGNGGANCAUGUGNUUUANUUCGAUGCANCGCGAA
Molecule: ribosomal RNA, 851 nt
Filed under: uncultured bacterium
Lineage: Bacteria
Description: bacterial SSU rRNA
Rfam family: Bacterial small subunit ribosomal RNA
Source: RNAcentral